Molecule: long non-coding RNA, 244 nt
Organism: Dendronephthya gigantea
Lineage: Eukaryota; Metazoa; Cnidaria; Anthozoa; Malacalcyonacea; Nephtheidae
Exons: 3
Source: RefSeq, a predicted model, not a curated record
CAGACUUCUCAAGACCGCAGUUAACUUCAACACUCAGCAUCAUCGAUCUAAAUAUUUCACCUCAAGUUUAACAUAAAGACACACGAAGUACACUUCAAAACAUGAAAGAAUGGCAGGCACAUAACACAAUAUGCCCCUGCCAUAUUGACAAGAUUGCAGUCCCAGGAUGGUAGAGCGAGGUCAUGAUUAUUUAUCUACCCAUUCCAUGGCUAUGUUACCUCGUCGGUCUAUAUGAGGACUGUUU